AGCAGCCGCGGUAAUUCCAGCUCCAAUAGCGUAUAUUAAAGUUGUUGCAGUUAAAAAGCUCGUAGUUGAAUUUCGGGGUUCUACCGUUGGUCGGGCAAUAGUCUGUACUGGCGUGUAGAAUUUCUACCUUCUGGGGAACCAUCAUGUUAUUUAUUUAGUGUGGUGGGAAACCAGAACCUUUACCUUGAAAAAAUUAGAGUGUUCAAAGCAGGCUUACGUCUGAAUACAUUAGCAUGGAAUAAUAAAAUAGGACGGUGGUCCUGUUUUGUUGGUUUCUGAAUCACCGUAAUGAUUAAUAGGGAUAGUUGGGGGCAUUAGUAUUCAAUUGUCAGAGGUGAAAUUCUUGGAUUUAUUGAAGACUAACUUCUGCGAAAGCAUUUGCCAAGGAUGUUUUCAUUAAUCAAGAACGAAAGUUAGGGGAUCGAAGACGAUCAGAUACCGUCGUAGUCU
Molecule: ribosomal RNA, 450 nt
Filed under: uncultured Glomeromycotina
Lineage: Eukaryota; Fungi; Glomeromycota
Description: SSU rRNA
Rfam family: Eukaryotic small subunit ribosomal RNA
Source: RNAcentral